UCCCUUGUAGCUCAGCUGGUGAAGAAUCUGCCUGCAAUGCAGGAGCCCCGGGUUCAAUUCCUGGGUGGGGAA
Molecule: transfer RNA, 72 nt
Organism: Ovis aries (sheep)
Lineage: Eukaryota; Metazoa; Chordata; Mammalia; Artiodactyla; Bovidae
Rfam family: tRNA
About the family: Transfer RNA (tRNA) molecules are approximately 80 nucleotides in length.
Source: Rfam